GCCGGAAUAGCUCAGUUGGGAGAGCGUUAGACUAAAGAUGUUUACGCAAUAGUCAUCUAAAGGCCCCCGGUUCAAUCCCGGGUUCCGGCA
Molecule: transfer RNA, 90 nt
Filed under: Dreissena polymorpha
Lineage: Eukaryota; Metazoa; Mollusca; Bivalvia; Myida; Dreissenidae
Rfam family: tRNA
About the family: Transfer RNA (tRNA) molecules are approximately 80 nucleotides in length. Their secondary structure includes four short double-helical elements and three loops (D, anti-codon, and T loops).
Source: Rfam by way of RNAcentral